ACGGCUUGCGGACCUUUUUCCCUUCGCUGCUUUCCACCGGUCUCGGCAGGGUCUGAGGACUCCGGAGAGCAAGGCAUGAGUCCGCCUCGUGCCGCAGGUUCCUGGCCCACGCCAGCUGGACCCAGUAGCACCAUGGGUGAGCUCUGAGGACUUCACGGGGGCCCCAUCUCCUUACCUAGAUGAGGGCUAACCUUGGAAUCCAGACAAAGGUGGAAGUGACCUAGAUGUGACCUGGAUGACCUGAUCAUCUAAGGAGAGCCUGCCCUUUGUCCUGCCCUUGUGAAGGGCUUUGCUGCUGUGCACUGACAAGUUGGGACGGCUUUUUAUUGCUUUGUUGCCAGUUAUCUGAACAUGAGAGGCUAUAAGGUGUAAUCUAUGCGAGCUGACUGCCCUACGCCCAGACUGAACCAGGGCCUCACUUGACUGAGUAUUAGACAAUGUAAUAAAAACUUACCUUGCCCAGACUAUAUAAUGGCUUGGAAAUGCACAGUUUCCCGAAAGAUCUCAAUAAAAUACUUUUAAAAGGA
RNAcentral lists this long non-coding RNA (527 nucleotides) under Mus caroli (Ryukyu mouse). RNAcentral's name for it is "lncRNA (MGP_CAROLIEiJ_G0013484.1)". Lineage: Eukaryota; Metazoa; Chordata; Mammalia; Rodentia; Muridae. The record is from RNAcentral.